CCUACGGGCGGCAGCAGUGGGGAAUAUUGCACAAUGGGGGAAACCCUGAUGCAGCGACGCCGCGUGAGUGAAGAAGUAUUUCGGUAUGUAAAGCUCUAUCAGCAGGGAAGAAAAGUACGGUACCUGAUUAAGAAGCCACGGCUAACUACGUCACAGCAGCCGCGGUACUUCGGAGGAUGCGACCGUUAUCCGGAUUUAUGGGGUUUAAGGGGUGCGCAGGCGGGCUGUUAAGCCGGCGGUAAAAGUUCAGGGCUAACCCCUGUAGAGCCGUCGAAACUGGCAGUCUUGAGUGGGCGAGAAGUAUGCGGAAUGCGUGGUGUAGCGGUGAAAUGCAUAGAUAUCACGCAGAACGCCGAUUGCGAAGGCAGCAUACCGGCGCCCAACUGACGCUGAGGCACGAAAGCGUGGGGAUCGAACAGGAUUAGAUACCCUGGUAGUC
This 439-nucleotide ribosomal RNA is filed under the name uncultured bacterium. RNAcentral describes it as "partial 16S ribosomal RNA". It matches the Rfam family "Bacterial small subunit ribosomal RNA", at positions 338 to 795 of the family's 1533-position model. The record is from RNAcentral.